Molecule: transfer RNA, 72 nt
Filed under: Pangasianodon hypophthalmus (striped catfish)
Lineage: Eukaryota; Metazoa; Chordata; Actinopteri; Siluriformes; Pangasiidae
Description: tRNA-Glu
Rfam family: tRNA
About the family: Transfer RNA (tRNA) molecules are approximately 80 nucleotides in length. Their secondary structure includes four short double-helical elements and three loops (D, anti-codon, and T loops).
Source: RNAcentral
UCCCUGGAGGAUUACUGGUUAGGCCACGGUGCUCUCUCCGCUGUGGCCCGGGUUCGAAUCCCGGCCAGGGAA